Long non-coding RNA from Helianthus annuus (common sunflower), 1677 nucleotides. RefSeq lists it as uncharacterized. NCBI's taxonomy places the organism in Eukaryota, Viridiplantae, Streptophyta, Magnoliopsida, Asterales, Asteraceae. The record is from RefSeq and is a predicted model, not a curated record. The transcript has 7 exons.
CACACACACACACACACUCUCAUACCCUCUCUCUCACUAAACUCUUCUCUCUAAUAUCACCAGCAACCAUCCUCCAUCCUAACUCCACCCUUUUCUCCCUUCAAAGCCGCCACCCUCCAUUAAAACCUGAAACUUGACCUCCAAAUAAAAAUCCAAACACUAACCCUAACCGAUCGCCCACCCAAUUACUUGUUGGGAGUCACCUUGAUCAGAUCUGGUUGAAGGGGAGCGGUGGUGGCGAGAAGGAGGGUGAACAACGGGGAUACUCCAACUUGUUCCAGCGAGAUCUGGAGGUGUUCGGACAUAACGACGGGUUGACGGCGGUUGUUCUGGUGGAGACGGAGUGGAUUUGGACACAACGACGGUGGCAAAUCUAGAAGGAGAUCCAUCUUUAGAUCUUAACUAGGGUUGUCAAAAAGCUCGCAGCUCGGAGCUCGCUCGGAUUUAGCUCGGAAAAAGCUCGCUUGGCAUGGCUCGGUUUGAAAGUGAGCCGAGCCAGCUCGGCUCGGCUCGUAACGAGCCGACUUGGCUUGGUUUGGCUCGCUUGGUAACUCAGCUCCGCUUAGUUCGGAUUAUUUUCUUCAUAAUAUAUUUAUUUUUAUAUACAUUAUAAUAUAUUACAAAAAAACCUGUUAUUAUUUAUAUAUAUUUAGGCUUGUAAUUUGAUAUCCAUGGCAUAUUUGAAUCUUAAUUACCUUUGAGUUGUCAAGACGAAAAUGAACUGUUUGAACCCUUUGACGCUCAAGUUAGCAUAUGAUCGUUGUAGAUCUACAAGCAUGUGCCUAUAUGUAGGGUAUAUGAGGGAAUUCGAGGAAUGCUAGAGAUUAGAGAAAGAGAGAGAGAGAGAGGAGAUGGAAAUGAGCUGGUUUGUAAUGCUCAGGUAAUUAACAAUUUUUACAAUUACUCCCUUCCUAUGAUUAUUAGAAAUGAUGGUUGAGGCAUUCAGGUGAACUACUACAUGUGCCGUUGGUUUUCUUUGAAAUGGAUUACUUGUCAUGUUCUAGGGGUAUGCCAUAUUAGAUUUCAAAAAUGGAUUGAUCAUGAUGAAUUUCUGUUAUUACCACCUAAAGACACUUGCUAUUAUAGAUAAAGAAAAAUGGAUAAUCGCCUGGGUCGAUAUGGAUUUGCGAAGAUGGUUGGGUCACCCGAGAUGAUGUAAGGCUUGCAUUGGGGAUAUUAGGAGCACUUUGUGAGCAGUUAGUUGUCCGACAGAUUCAUCUUAGAGAAGAUGUCGUCUCCCUUGGGUGUUCUUUUUGUUUGAGUCUCGGCCUGAGGCUCUAGUUCAGAUUGCAUCAUUAGCCAUUAAAACUGGAAAUGGGCUCCUACUGAAUGGAGGAAAGGAAGGAAACAGCUCUAACGCAAUCUUGCACAAGAUUAUUACUUCAUGCAUAAAGAGUUGGUAAAGGGUUAAUUGUCCUUGUUACUUCCAGAGACGAGAUUCCCGAAUUGCUCAAGAUGUGGCACGACACAAGAGAAGCUACGGAUAAUGAUAUAGAUUUUUUGUUGAUGAUGUUGCCAAAAUUUUUCUAGUGAGUUAGGUAUUUCGUUAGUUUAGCUUAUAUAAGAUUAUAUGUAGUUUAUUUAUGGAAUUUAAUGUAGUUUGUUAUGCAUUCAACAAAGGAUUGUAAUUUGACGGGUUUGUUUUCGAAUUGAAUGUGUAUUGGGUUGAUUAGAAAA